RNAcentral lists this ribosomal RNA (492 nucleotides) under uncultured bacterium. RNAcentral's name for it is "partial 16S ribosomal RNA". It matches the Rfam family "Bacterial small subunit ribosomal RNA", at positions 29 to 507 of the family's 1533-position model. The record is from RNAcentral.
AGUGAACGCUGGCGGUAGGCCUAACACAUGCAAGUCGAACGGCAGCACAGUAAGAGCUUGCUCUUACGGGUGGCGAGUGGCGGACGGGUGAGGAAUACAUCGGAAUCUACUUUUUCGUGGGGGAUAAUGUAGGGAAACUUACGCUAAUACCGCAUACGACCUACGGGUGAAAGCAGGGGAUCUUCGGACCUUGCGCGAUUGAAUGAGCCGAUGUCGGAUUAGCUAGUUGGCGGGGUAAAGGCCCACCAAGGCGACGAUCCGUAGCUGGUCUGAGAGGAUGAUCAGCCACACUGGAACUGAGACACGGUCCAGACUCCUACGGGAGGCAGCAGUGGGGAAUAUUGGACAAUGGGCGCAAGCCUGAUCCAGCCAUACCGCGUGGGUGAAGAAGGCCUUCGGGUUGUAAAGCCCUUUUGUUGGGAAAGAAAAGCAGCAGGUUAAUACCCCGCUGUUCUGACGGUACCCAAAGAAUAAGCACCGGCUAACUCCGUG